RNAcentral lists this ribosomal RNA (440 nucleotides) under uncultured soil bacterium. RNAcentral's name for it is "bacterial SSU rRNA". It matches the Rfam family "Bacterial small subunit ribosomal RNA", at positions 26 to 494 of the family's 1533-position model. The record is from RNAcentral.
AGGACGAACGCUGGCGGCGUGCUUAACACAUGCAAGUCGAGCGGUAAGGCCUUUCGGGGUACACGAGCGGCGAACGGGUGAGUAACACGUGGGUGGUCUGCCCUGCACUCUGGGAUAAGCCUGGGAAACUGGGUCUAAUACCGGAUAUGACCUGCUCUCGCAUGGGGGUGGGUGGAAAGAUUUUAUCGGUGCAGGAUGGGGCCCGCGGCCUAUCAGCUUGUUGGUGGGGUAAUGGCCUACCAAGGCGACGACGGGUAGCCGACCUGAGAGGGUGACCGGCCACACUGGGACUGAGACACGGCCCAGACUCCUACGGGAGGCAGCAGUGGGAAUAUUGCACAAGUGGGACGAAAGCCUGAUGCAGCGACGCCGCGUGGAGGAUGAACGGUCCGUUUACGGGUUACGUAAACCCGUUCUUUACGAGCGUAGGACGAAGCGAC